Molecule: long non-coding RNA, 3576 nt
Filed under: Sus scrofa (pig)
Lineage: Eukaryota; Metazoa; Chordata; Mammalia; Artiodactyla; Suidae
Description: lncRNA (ENSSSCG00050076479.1)
Source: RNAcentral
CCCGCUGGCCCGAGCAUCGCGCGCCGCAGACGCGGCCCCGCAGCUCCGCCCCCGGCCCGGCCCGGCCAGGCCCCGGGCCCGCUCGCCCGCCGCCCCACAUGGAGCUGUCAGCCAUCGGCGAGCAGGUGUUCGCCGUAGAGAGCAUCCGGAAGAAGCGCGUGCGGAAGGGUAAAGUCGAAUAUCUGGUGAAGUGGAAAGGAUGGCCCCCAAAGUACAGCACGUGGGAGCCGGAGGAGCACAUCCUGGACCCCCGCCUGGUCAUGGCCUAUGAGGAGAAGGAGGAGAGAGACCGAGCGUCGGGUUAUAGGAAGAGAGGCCCGAAACCCAAGCGGCUUCUGCUGCAGGAGUCACCGGCCCCGGACGUCCUGCAGGCGGCCAGCGAGUGGGAGCCUGCUGAGCAGCCCCCCGAAGAGGAGGCAGAUGCAGAUCUGGCCGAGGGGCCCCCUUCCUGGACACCCACGCUCCCCUCAAGUGAAGUGACAGUGACCGAUAUCACCGCCAACUCCAUCACCGUCACCUUCCGAGAGGCUCAGGCAGCUGAGGGCUUCUUCCGAGACCGCGGCGGGAAGUUCUGAGUCACCGUUUUUACUCUUCUUAAUCUCUUCUCCUUCGGGCUUGGGGUGGGGACUUCCAGAUACAGGGAGGGGUUGGGGCGGGGUAAUUAUUUUAUUUAAAAAAACAUUGAACAGGAGAAGCGGGUCUGAACCCAACACUCUCCCACCCCCCCGCCCCCACCCUUCUCUGUGCCCGCGUUUACAGAGAGGCCUUGGGUCCGGGCCUGGGGAGGCCAGGCGCUGCUCUGUCACUUGGGGUGUCAUCUCCAGGGCAGGAUGGGACAGGGCCAGCUUCCUCGGGACACCUCUGCCACCGCUCUUCUUUAAACAGCAGCAGCCCCAGCAGCUGGCCCCGGGGCCAGAGGAGGAGGGAAGGCCCGAGCCCUCCCCUGGGGCUGCCCACCCCAGCCUUUCUGCUUCUUCCCCCUUUUCCUUUUUUUUUUUUUUUUUUUUUUUUUUUUUUUUUUUUUUUGGUGUGUGUGUGGUGGGGGGGGUGUCUUUAUUUUGAACUUUCCACUCCAGCUUUGUGGGAUGCUACGGAGGCUACAAAGGCUGGCUUUGACCAAGAGUGUCUGGGCCCGAGAGCUCAGGGGCCGGGAAGGGUUGGAGAUGGCUGGGCGUGUCCCAUCCCUUCCCCCAGGGGCAGCUGCCAGCCCAGCCCCUGCCACUGACAGGCCCCCCUCCCAACCCCGUUCCCCGGCCUGUGAAAACCGCUCGCUUACACACCCAGCCACACAGGUGUGUGCACACUGCCCCUCGUGCCCCUGGGACUGCAUGUGCGUGUCCACAGAUGUGUGCAGUGGGUCUUGCUAACCUCCUGUUUAGAACCCUGACCAGGUGAAUGGGGGGUGAUUCCCAGCACAAAAGAGCUUGCUGUGGGCACCCCCCCACACACCUCACCUCACCUCGCCCGGCGCUUCACCUGACGAGACCCAUCCAGCUCAGUGUGCUUGCUGUGCUCAGUGGAGGGCAAGGGUCUGACGGGCAGGGGAGGGUGGCAGCUUGGGGAGGUCAGGGAGCAGAGCGGGGGAGGUGGUGAGAUGGUCUCCGAUGCUCCAGGCGUGCAGAUGCAGUCUCGUGGUCUCACCUGGCCGGCCGCAGGUGUGCAGGUGUCUGUGCAGGUGCGCCGUGCACCCGCUGGAGCCCCCAGGGGCUCCUGUUCUCUCUGACUCAGGUGACUUUCCAGCCCUUCCCUCUCCCCUCUUUUUUUGCUCUCCCCUCUGACUCAGCCAAGCCAGACUUGGGUGUGGGUGGUCAGCGAGGGAGGGAGCAUCCCACCACCUUCUCAGGGCAGCCCUUGACCUCCGGACACCCUUCCUCCUUCCACUCUGCGUCUCCUCCCCGUCCACCCGCAAUGCUGCAGCUGGGGCUAACCUUGCUCUCUUGUGGGGGCACCUCUGCCAUGUCUUCCUGUGGUCAGGCCACAGCGGAUGGUGGUUCAGGCUACACACAAGCCCCACACCCCGGCUGGGGGCUGUGUCUGCCGGGAGGGGGCGCUCCAUUUCUAGUUUGCACAGAGGUAGUUGCUCCCCUGGCAGUGAGGAGGGACUUCUCUCCCCUGUCAGUCCCUAUAGGGGUGAAAAAGCCAGAUUGGGGUGGGCACCAGGGGAGCAAGUGAAAGCCUGGCUCCCUCCCCGCUCCGCGUUGUCCCCUCCCCCAGGGCUGUGCCACAUUCUGCUUUGUCCGGGGGAAGUCAGCAGAAUCUUUCUGAGGCUCGGAUAGGGCAGUGUUCCCCUAGACCCCUUCUUCCCAAGUUCCCGAACCAAAGACAGCCUGCACCCAAUUUUUAUUUGGGCAGCCUGCUGGCAAGAUCCCAGAACCCUGAGCCUCUGUCUCCUCCUCCUCCUCAAUCCUCUGUUGUCCAGGGUCAAUUCAGUGCUUCCAUUGGGGGAUCGCGCCCUCCCCCUGACUCACCCCCGCUUAGGGGGUUGAGUCUAGAGGAGUAUAUGGCGGGUGACCAGGGGACAGGAUGGCAGCCUGGGUUGGAGGCUGUCCCAGUUCAGGGGCCCCCGGCAGAGGCUGGGGGGGGGCAGGGACUCUGGCCUUGGGACUGGCAGCUUCCAGUAGAUGUCACAGUCCCCACCCCCCAGGGGACAUGGGCCUCCUCCUGCCUCACUUGGAGGAGCUGUUCAUGCAGUUUGCAGGUUUGGGGGAGGGGGCGGCCCUUGUGUGGGGUGAGGCCCCGCUGGAGCAGAGCACUGCUUGCCUCUCUCAGCCCUUCAUGGCCUCUGGGAGGGCUGAGCCCUGGGAGCAGAGGCGGCCUGGGGGCCGGGCUGCAGGGGGUUAGGACCCUCCCACCCAGGACCCAGAACCGAGACCUCUAUGAGGGGUUGGGAGCAGCCUUGAAGGCCUCCUCCAGCCCCGAGCAUCCUAGCGGGGCUAGGGUGAGGGGGCAAGGUGGGCAUGACCUGCCUCCCCACUCUCCUGCCACCCUAGAAGGCCAGUACUCACGCGGGGGGGGGGUUCGAAAAAGCUGGACCACCUGUCUUUCCUUCCCGCAGCCCCCCACCUGCUUUGAAUGUAGAGAGACCGGUUGGUACUUUUCUUUUGCUGGGGGGUGGGGCCAGGAGAAUGUUCUCCGCCCCUGGCACAGCCGCUUGUAAUGCUGCCCCUCGAGGACCGGGCCCCUCGAGGACCACCCGCCGCUCCUAGGAUGGUGGCCCCAGGGCCAGCCUCCUUCUCCACUCCCGGCCUGGGGGAAGGCGCUUCGCUUGGUUUAGCUUUUGCUUCAUAACCGGCCAGCCUGGCCUCCAGGUCUCAGCACAAGAACGCUGCCUUUGCACAGAAUGAGCAUCAAGCUUUGUUCUGACUACAUGAAUGUAUUCGGGAGGGUUGGGGGCGCGAGUCGGUUCAAGCACAUGCCUUUGCCGAGUGCGCGUGUGCAGGGAGAGCUAGAGCGGAUGCAGAGUGUGGGUUUAUUUUUGUACUGAUAUUGGUAAGAGACUGUACAGCAUCUAUUUAUUUAGAUGAUUUAUCUGGUAAACGAGGCAAAAAAUUAUUAAAAAUACAUUAAAGAUGAUUU